UACCGCAUAAUGUCUUAGAUCAUUACGAGCUGGACCAAAGGUGGCCUCUACAUGUAAGCUAUCGCGUUGGGAUGGGCCCAGUUAGGAUUAGCUAGUUGGUAAGGUAAUGGCUUACCAAGGCGACGAUCCUUAGCUGGUUUGAGAGGAUGAUCAGCCACACUGGGACUGAGACACGGCCCAGACUCCUACGGGAGGCAGCAGUGGGGAAUAUUGCACAAUGGGGGAGACCCUGAUGCAGCCAUGCCGCGUGUGUGAAGAAGGCCUUCGGGUUGUAAAGCACUUUCAGCAGUGAGGAAGGUGGUGUACUUAAUACGUGCAUGGCUUGACGUUAGCUGCAGAAGAAGCACCGGCUAACUCCGUGCCAGCAGCCGCGGUAAUACGGAGGGUGCGAGCGUUAAUCGGAAUUACUGGGCGUAAAGCGCAUGCAGGCGGUUUGUUAAGUCAGAUGUGAAAGCCCGGGGCUCAACCUCGGAACCGCAUUUGAAACUGGCAGGCUAGAGUCUUGUAGAGGGGGGUAGAAUUUCAGGUGUAGCGGUGAAAUGCGUAGAGAUCUGAAGGAAUACCAGUGGCGAAGGCGGCCCCCUGGACAAAGACUGACGCUCAAAUGCGAAAGCGUGGGUAGCAAACAG
Molecule: ribosomal RNA, 629 nt
Filed under: Salinivibrio sp. TA8
Lineage: Bacteria; Pseudomonadati; Pseudomonadota; Gammaproteobacteria; Vibrionales; Vibrionaceae
Description: bacterial SSU rRNA
Rfam family: Bacterial small subunit ribosomal RNA
Source: RNAcentral